Long non-coding RNA from Zophobas morio, 1688 nucleotides. RefSeq lists it as uncharacterized. The transcript has 3 exons. The record is from RefSeq and is a predicted model, not a curated record. Lineage: Eukaryota; Metazoa; Arthropoda; Insecta; Coleoptera; Tenebrionidae.
CGUCGGCAUUUCGAUUUAACCACUCCCUAGUGUAAGUUUUCAAAAUUUCGCUGGUGUAAACGGCUUUCCGUACCUUUUUAGAGAGAAAAUGGCCGACGAUUAAUGACAUUAGUUACUUUUUUUUGACAUUUGUUUGAUCGCCGUCUUAUAACAAGGUUCUGUGCUUACAAGGCGACGGCUUAUUAAUUAAGGGGCUCUUUUAUGUGGGUUAGAGCUUAGGGUACGCAUUUUCAGGGCACAUACACCGACAUUAUCAAACUGUGGAAUCGAAAGUGCAGUAUAAAUCUGCACUGCCACAAUUGAUGGUAUAAGCAGUUAACAGUUUACCAUCUCGUUAACAAAAGGUGGACAUCAAUAAAAUGGGCAAGUACGACUCAAAGGAUGGUGUACGAAGAAUGACCACAUGACUGGCAGUUUGUAUUAAUAUUUCCAUCAGUCUUAUUUGUGCUGCCAUGGACGAUACUGACUUAUGGCUUGGUUCUUCUGAAUCACAGAACUCUGGUGCUUGUACUAAUAAUGCGUCAUUAGAAGAUUUACACAUUUUAAUGAAAUGUUACCAGAACUGUUAUAAUUUAUAAGAAACUACAUGAAGUAUUUAAAGAGAUAAAGCGUGAAGCAAAAGCAAGUGAUGUAAAGAAGCAGAUCAAUUCACUAAGGUUGAAUCACAGGAGGGAAUUAAAUAAAAUGAAAUGUUCUAAAUGUGAUAGAAAGACAAUUCUCAAUGAACAUAAUUUAUAGGAACAUAAACAGUAGUCUCAACUGUUACAAAUCAGUGUAUUGUCAAAAACUUUAACAAUGGAAUAAAACAGGAACAACUAACUAAAACUCAUUAAUACAAUAAUUGUUAAAAGGUGUGACAUUUAUUUACUUAGCAAGGUAAAUUAAUCAUCUAUUACCUCUACAAUAAUUGUUUCUAUAUCAUUCUCUGCAUUCAUCCAUUCACACAUCUCAACAUCAUCUACACAAAGCUGCUGGCCUUCUCCAAUAUUGCCUUGUGUUUCAUUCAUACUGGUUUCAGGAUCCAUACUUACAUUUAAUGUUCUGUUGGCUAAUACAUCAUCCUGCAUAAUAUCACUUAUACUGUCAUCUUCAUCUGAACUUAAAUCAGAUUCACUAUCAGAUUCUCCAAGUGAUAUUAUGACAGGAGGAAUAUCUUUAACACUGGUAUUACCCAUCAUUCUUUGCCAAUCAUCCUUGAUAAUAUUUUCACAGUGGAUUACACUUGAUGUCCACAUCUCUGGUGUAUAUUUAGACAUAGCUUCAAUCCACAAGUGCUUGAUUUCUGAUUUUUUGGAAGACUGCUUCAAGAUGUGUUUGUUAUAAUAUGGUUUACAGAAUCCCCAUACCAUUUCUAUAGCAUUAUAGUGGCAGUGAUAUGGAGGUAAACGUAAAACUUCAAUAUUACUCUUUGACAACAACUCAUCAAUCUCAUAUUUACGAGUUGAUGGUAAAAGAGGUUUGAUAAUAUCCCAAAGCUGUUUUUUUGUCAAAUUAUCGCCAAAAGGAAUUUUUUUUUGUGCAAGCCAAAAUUUUAAUUUUGAUUUAAUCCAAGACAAACGAGGCAAUUGUUCUGCUAACACCGAAUGAUAAGGUGCAUUGUCCAUGAUGAUAACAACCUUACCGUUAAUAAAAUUAACAGAUGGAAUUAACUGUGUUUCCACCCAUUGCCUGAACAAUUGCCCGUUCAU